UUCCUAAAGUGUUAAAGCUCAUGAGAAUUCAUUGAAUCUAGACCAUGAUCCAUGCAUGGUGGACCAUCUCGCAUGUGAGUGGCUCUCACCAUUCAAAUCGUGUGGAAUCCACACCAUUCAUGUGUGGUGUUCCUUCAUAGACCAUAGUCUAGGAAAGAAUUUCCUAGAGGUCCAAACCACAAGUGUUGUUUUUACUUCUCCCAAAUUAUUUCACAUCAAUAACAUCCUUGGAGUUUGACAUUUGUGCCCUUGUAUGAAUAGUUCACCAUAGUGAAAGCGUGGAUCUUUUUCUCGGCUGUGCUGCAUCUCUUCCCAUGAUGCUUUUCCAUGGAAGAGUUAGUGAUUUGGUUAGUUUGAGUGGAUGCCUUUGGAUGGGUGGAGUGUCUUUAGCAAUAAAGCUGCAUCUGUCAUUUGUGGGGUGACCUUUCUUCUUGUGAUUUGCCUCUUACACCAUAAACCUGCAUGGGCAGUUUUGGAACUUCCUCCAUUGUUCAAAUUCUCACUACACCAAGUCAUACACACCCAUGGUCAAUUUUUAGAUGCAUAGAUGAUUCAUGUGGAUAUGGAAAGAACAUAGACUUGCAUACAACACAAACAAUAAUGCAAUUUUUGUAUCACAUUUCUCUGUUGAACGGGAUAACCAAAAAAAAUUCCUAUUCAACAUGUUGCAAGAUUGAAAUGGUUAAUUCAGCAUAUUUAGUUAAAUUUAUAUUUUCAUUUCCUUUCUUUUGGCUUCUCCUCUCUAGUUAACUCCAUGUGCUAUUUGUUAACUCAUAUUCUCUUUUGCCUUGCAGGUUUAGCUUCUCAACCAUGUUUUUCGCUCAUAGUAAGGACCCUUUUGCAUUUUAACAUCCAUAUGCUAUUUUCAGUGAAGAACUUUCAUUUCCCUUUGUCAGUAAUACCAACUCUGGAUUUCCUUGAAUUUUCAGGAGAAAAUACAGUGAGCACACUAGGUCGUAUGGUUCUGAUCAUCUGGCUUUUUGUUGUGUUGAUAAUCAACUCGAGCUACACAGCAAGUCUCACAUCAAUCCUGACUGUCCAACAGUUAUCCUCGCCCAUUAAAGGAAUUGAUACCUUGGUAACUAGCAGUGAACAUAUCGGUUACCAAGUAGGGUCCUUUGCUGAAAACUAUCUGAAUGAGGAACUCAACAUAGCUAAAACCAGACUUGUUGCUCUCGGCUCACCAGAAGAAUACGCUAGUGCCCUUGCAAAUGGAACUGUUGCUGCUGUGGUUGAUGAACGACCUUAUGUGGACCUCUUCCUCUCCGAUCAUUGUCAGUUCUCAAUCAGGGGCCAAGAGUUUACCAAAAGUGGAUGGGGAUUUGUGAGUAUCUCAAGCUGAAACCAAUUCAUUUCUAAGUCUGCUAUUUUCCUUGCUCAAUCAAAGUUAAUUUUCUGGCAAGUUCUGACAACUUAAAUUUGACUCGGUGCAAGUAUAAAUCACAUAAUUUCAUAAAAAAUAUGCCAGAUAUGCCAGAGAGACAUAGGAUAAUUUUAGUUUAUGAUAAUGAAAAGUAUGAAGGAAAUUCGCGGUGCUUUAUGAAAUGGCAGAAAACUUGAACCUGAGUUUAUCAAGCCCCAUGCAACUGUCAUAAGGUUGUUCAGAGUUAUAUUAACAUACAAUAGGGAAAAUUCAAUUACGAACCUGCAACAGGGAAUAGUUAGCUGCAAAACUUUUAGCGGUCAUUAGCUUGCGAUUCAGGUAAGUUGAGCAUAUUAAAAAUGGCCGUAAGAAGCUGUUUAAUCUGUGCUCUUCAAGAGAAGUGAUGGCCUAUUAUGGACUCCAUCAAAUGUAGCAUGUCAGUUGCCCUUCGCCAAUAAAACAGAUAAUGGCAGAUCAUGAUUAUAUUGCCAUAUGUAGUUGUGAUGGCCGAUUAUUAUAAUAUUGCUAUGCAUGGCAGUCUUUGCCUUAUGAUCGCGGUGUCCUCAAGUUCCCAGUGAAAUGGUUUCACUUUUUCUUUCUACUAUUAUUAAUAUUAGGGCUUUUUACAAAAGUUCCGGAAAGUAAAAGAAAA
Molecule: long non-coding RNA, 2015 nt
Filed under: Ricinus communis (castor bean)
Lineage: Eukaryota; Viridiplantae; Streptophyta; Magnoliopsida; Malpighiales; Euphorbiaceae
Description: long non-coding RNA (RCOM_LNC001267)
Source: RNAcentral